UAUCUAAUAAAGAAUCUGCCUGCAAUGCAGGAGACCCAGGUUCAAUCCCUGG
Non-coding RNA from Bos taurus (domestic cattle), 52 nucleotides. The record is from Rfam. NCBI's taxonomy places the organism in Eukaryota, Metazoa, Chordata, Mammalia, Artiodactyla, Bovidae.